Non-coding RNA from Paramuricea clavata, 73 nucleotides. Lineage: Eukaryota; Metazoa; Cnidaria; Anthozoa; Malacalcyonacea; Plexauridae. The record is from the annotation of a GenBank genome assembly.
GUCCUCUGUACUCAGUUGGUUAGAGCGCUGCACCGGAAUCGCAGGGCCGCAGGUUCGAUUCCUGUCAGGGACC